This 497-nucleotide ribosomal RNA is filed under the name uncultured bacterium. RNAcentral describes it as "partial 16S ribosomal RNA". It matches the Rfam family "Bacterial small subunit ribosomal RNA", at positions 28 to 507 of the family's 1533-position model. The record is from RNAcentral.
GAUGAACGCUGGCGGCGUGCCUAAUACGUGCAAGUCGAGCGAACGGACGGGAAGCUUGCUUCUCUGAUGUUAGCGGCGGACGGGUGAGUAACACGUUGAUAACCUACCUAUAAGACUGGGAUAACUUCGGGAAACCGGGGCUAAUACCGGAUAAUAUUUUGAACCGCAUUGUUCAAAAGUGAAAGACGGUCUUGCUGUCACUGAUAGAUGGAUCCGCGUUGCAUUAGCUAGUUGGGAAGGGAACGGGUUACCAAGGCAACGAUGCAUAGACGACCUGAAAGGGUGGCCGGCCAAAAGGGAACGGAGACACGGUCCAGACUCCUUGGGGAGGCAGCAGUAGGGAAUCUUACGCAAUGGGCGAAAGCCUGACGGAGCAACGCGGCGUGAGUGAUGAAGGCCUUCGGCUCGUAAAACUCUGUUAUUAGGGAAGAACAUAUGUGUAAGUAACUGUGAAAAUCUUGACGGUACCUAAUCAGAAAGCCACGGCUAACUACGUG